Molecule: transfer RNA, 75 nt
Filed under: Chloroflexota bacterium
Lineage: Bacteria; Bacillati; Chloroflexota
Also listed under: 1 other name
Description: Chloroflexi bacterium tRNA-Lys
Rfam family: tRNA
About the family: Transfer RNA (tRNA) molecules are approximately 80 nucleotides in length. Their secondary structure includes four short double-helical elements and three loops (D, anti-codon, and T loops).
Source: RNAcentral
GGGCCUCUAGCUCAAUGGCAGAGCAGCUGACUCUUAAUCAGCCGGUUCGGGGUUCGAGUCCCCGGGGGCUCACCA